Molecule: long non-coding RNA, 552 nt
Organism: Rhinopithecus roxellana (golden snub-nosed monkey)
Lineage: Eukaryota; Metazoa; Chordata; Mammalia; Primates; Cercopithecidae
Exons: 3
Source: RefSeq, a predicted model, not a curated record
UAGGUAAGGAUUAUUAUUUUUUCUUCUUUUUUUUUUGUCCCAGUUUGAAGUUUCUGUGGAAUUUGAGUUUCUGGAGAGACAGCCUCAUGUUUUCAACAAUUAAUCUGGUGGUAGAGAAAAUGUGGAAGUAGUUUACCUUCAAGAGGGAAAUGACCAACAUUGUGAAAUGUUUUCUAAGCCUUGGAGUGAUAAUGGUUUAGGAAACAGAUGCCUCUAACACUUCCUCUGUCAUUUCGCAUUUCUUGUUGUUGGGAGCUGUGGAGAGUUAAGAAUUCAAAUGAAAAACUGGUUACUCUUAACACCCUCCUUGCACUGUAGAGGUACUUAAAGGCUACUGUACCUUUCACAUUGAUGUUCAUGACAGACUCUCUGUGAGUGACACCGAUGACGUCUAUGACAGAGGUGGUGUGGAUGAUGACCAAGAUGUCCUGGCAGGCUCUCUUCAGGCAUGACUCAUCCAGAAUGUCUCCUUCCAGCACUGUCAGCUUGGUCUUGUUCUGGAGCUCUGUGUGAACACGGGUCAGGCCACUGUGCAUCCAUUAUAUCCCCUGC